Molecule: long non-coding RNA, 2714 nt
Filed under: Hordeum vulgare
Lineage: Eukaryota; Viridiplantae; Streptophyta; Magnoliopsida; Poales; Poaceae
Description: long non-coding RNA (HVUL_LNC015742)
Source: RNAcentral
UUGGUUUUUCUCUUGGUGGUACAAGCAACGCCCCUAGGGUGCCUUUUAUACACGUCCACAAGAGAUUAUGGAAAUAGACUAGGACUAGGUAUCCUAAUACUACUAGGAUUCGGUUUGGCUUUCUUUCCUAAUCCUACGUGUAUAGGACAACGUGAUUAACUCACAAGCAUGAGCUCACCAAGCAUAUUGGUGUUGAUGCUUUCUAUGUGCGCGUUGUUGUGCAGGAUCAGGUUAUUGCUCUUCAGUAUGUGCCUUCCGAGUUACAGUUGGCGGAUUUCCUGACAAAGGCCCAGACUAGAGCACAACAUGGCUUUUAUCUCUCCAAACUCAGUGUUGUUCAUCCACCAUGAGUUCGAGGGGGGUGUUAGAGUUAUAAUAUAAGUGAUGUACCCUUUUGUAUUUAUCCCAAUAUAUAAGGGGUUUCCUGCAUAUAGUCCACGACCUGUACAUUUAUAUAUACCGGCCUAUGGCCUCAUGGGAAUACAAGUUGCUUAUUCCUAACAUCUACGUCAAGCCAGCUCCAUUGGUGACUGCACCAAUCGCAUGCCACAGAGGCAUGUACAUCGUCACCAUUCCCCUCCUACGUAGCCGAGGCCUGGGCGAUGCCAUAACGGACCAGAGGUGGGCAUCUAGCAUGUGGUGAAGGAAGUCGGCAGCGCACCAUUCCCAUAGCUUAAUAGCAGGGAUUUCAGCCUCCUCGUGAUGGUACAUGGUCUCUAGGAAACCGUCAAAUUUGGCGACACUGCCCACCAAGAGGAUUUUAUGGCGCUCAAGGCUAUCCUCCAAGUCAUGCCUCCGGAGUGUUAGACCUUUCAGCCUGAGCAUUGAUAGUUGUGGAUGACACUAGGANNNNNNNNNNUGCUUCUACCUCCGCUCUGGCUGCUGCCAGCCCCGCUACAGCCAGCCUCGACACCCUUGCUGCCGCAGCAGCGGCUGCUACAGCUGCUCGCUCACGCUCCUCUGCCACGGCGCGCUCGGCCUCCUGCCGACGUCGUAUGCUCGAGGUAGCCGUGUGCUGAGAGCGACCUGCAGACAUGGCUCACUGCAGGGGGGGUUGUUGCGUGAAGAGGAGGCUGUUUCUGACGAGCUACUGCUCGACAGUCCGGAGGGAGGGAGGUAACCAAGGGCAGUCGGAGCAGCUGCUGCUACCGGCUUAGGCUGCUCAGCUCCUGGUGAGAGAGGUGAGCAGGAAAUGCUCAGGGUACAAGAUAACGAGGCUNNNNNNNNNNCUGCUUCUACCUCCGCUCUGGCUGCUGCCAGCUCCGCUGCAGCCAGCCUCGACACCCUUGCUGCCGCAGCAGCUGCUGCUACAGUUGCUCGCUCACGCUCCUCUGCCACGGCGCGCUCGGCCUCCUGCCGGCGCCGUAUGCUCGAGGUAGCCGUGUGCUGAGAGCGACCUGCAGACAUGUCUCGCUGCAGGGGGGCUAUUGCGUGAAGAGGAGGCUGUUGCUGACGAACUACUGCUCGACAGUCCGGAGAGGGAGGUAACUAAGGGCAGUCGGAGCAGCUGCUGCUACCGGCUUAGGCUGCUCAGCUCCCGGUGAGAGAGGUGAGCAGGAAAUGCUCAGGGUACAAGAUAACGAGGCUCUGAUACCACUUGUUAGACCUUUCAGCCUGAGCAUUGAUAGUUGUGGAUGACACUAGGAGAGUUGGGACAGUUUUCGUUGGUUUAUUUCUCACACAAUGCCAUGCCAACAUGAGGGGUUGGGGAUACAUAUUUAUAGGCUGCUAGCCAACCAAGCAUAUGCUAAGAUGCUAGUCUAAGAUGUGCUAAGAUGCUAGUCUAAGAUGCUAGUCUAAGAUGUGCUAAGAUGCUAGUCUAAGAUGCUAUCCUAACUGCCAGUCCUUGAUGGUCAAGGAUUCUAUCCUAACAGCCACAAGGACCAUGUGUUGCAGCCCCACAAAGAUCCUAGUACAUAGACUUAUCCAUCACGGAGAUGGUCCACACCCUGGAUGUCAAGUGGACAACAAAGGAAGCUUGGGAGGCGAUCUGUGCGAUACACAUUGGCAUUGACCGGGUCCGCCAGUCCAUGAUGCAGAAGCUAUAUCGGGAAUCAAUGACUUCACAUUCCGUCGAUGACUUCACGUUCCACCUCUUCGGCUUCAUUAGUUCAUUAACCAUCCAUGGCGAUCCCAUCCAUGAACAUAGGGUCGUCAAGAAGUCUUUGUGUGUCGUCCCUUGGAAGUAUGUAAAUUGCGCCAUCAAUCGAUGCUAUACUUGAUACAACGAAGCUCUCAAUUGAAUAGGUGACAAGCCAACUCAAGACUGCUUAAGUGCUUAUGAUCAUUGUGAGUCAAAGUUCAAAACCCAGGUUGGAGCAGCGGAUCCAAUCCAGCAGCAAAGUCUACUUCUCCGAGUAGUAGUGGCUCAUCUAGAUGAAGCAAAGGCAGGACGGAGAGGGAGCUCCAGGCCUCCCAACAAAAGGUAGGAGGGAUAGGAAAGCUCCAAGCAUCCCAAUUCACAUUUACCAUUUGGUACUUACCACAUCGACUUACACCACAUACAUCGCCCAAAUCGGCGACCACUUCAUCCACUUUGACAACUUUAUGCGAAGCAAGGCAGGUCAUUUUGAUUUUGUCAAGGGUGCUGACUUGAGGUAUCCAUUCCAACAUAAGCUUACUCUUCCCUUGGCAUUACGUUUGUGAGCCAUCCAACCCCUUCAUGACAAAUUUGAUCCCAUCGAGACUAGCUAUUUGAGUAUUGCUUGGCCACG